RNAcentral lists this ribosomal RNA (406 nucleotides) under uncultured bacterium. RNAcentral's name for it is "partial 16S ribosomal RNA". It matches the Rfam family "Bacterial small subunit ribosomal RNA", at positions 30 to 526 of the family's 1533-position model. The record is from RNAcentral.
AUUGAACGCUGGCGGCAGGCCUAACCCAUGCAAGUCGCACGAGUGGCGGACGGGUGAGUAAUGUCUGGGAAACUGCCCGCUGGAGGGGGAUAACUACGGGAAACGGUAGCUAAUACCGCAUACCAUCGGAUGUUCCCAGAUGAGAUUAGCUAGUGGGUGGGGAAAUGGCUCACCUAAGCGACGAUCCCUAGCUGGUCUGAGAGGAGGACCCGCCACACUGGAACUGAGACACGGUCCAGCCUCCUACGGGAGGCAGCAGGGGGGAAUAUUGCACAAUGGGCGCAAGCCUGAUGCAGCCAUGCCGCGUGUAUGAAGAAGGCCUUCGGGUUGUAAAGUACUUGCAGCGAGGAGGCGUUACUCGCAGAAGAAGCACCGGCGAACUCCGUGCCAGCAGCCGCGGUAAUAC